UUGAACGCUGGCUGCAUGCUUUACACAUGCCAGUCGAACGGCAGCGGGGGCUUCGGCCCGCCGGCGAGUGGCGAACGGGUGAGUAAUGCAUCGGAACGUACCCAGUCGUGGGGGAUAACUACGCGAAAGCGUGGCUAAUACCGCAUACGCCCUGAGGGGGAAAGCGGGGGACCUUCGGGCCUCGCGCGAUUGGAGCGGCUGAUGUCGGAUUAGCUAGUUGGUGGGGUAAAGGCCUACCAAGGCGACGAUCCGUAGCGGGUCUGAGAGGAUGAUCAGCCACACUGGGACUGAGACACGGCCCAGAAUCCUACGGGAGGCAGCAGUGGGGAAUUUUGGACAAUGGGGGCAACCCUGAUCCAGCCAUGCCGCGUGAGUGAAGAAGGCCUUCGGGUUGUAAAGCUCUUUCAGACGGAAAGAAAUCGGGUGCGUGAAUAGCGCGCCUGGAUGACGGUACUGUCAGAAGAAGCACCGGCUAACUACGU
This 482-nucleotide ribosomal RNA is filed under the name uncultured bacterium. RNAcentral describes it as "bacterial SSU rRNA". It matches the Rfam family "Bacterial small subunit ribosomal RNA", at positions 29 to 506 of the family's 1533-position model. The record is from RNAcentral.